RNAcentral lists this ribosomal RNA (304 nucleotides) under uncultured bacterium. Its description in RNAcentral is "partial 16S ribosomal RNA". It matches the Rfam family "Bacterial small subunit ribosomal RNA", at positions 506 to 809 of the family's 1533-position model. The record is from RNAcentral.
CAGCAGCCGCCGCGGGAAUACGGAGGAUCCAAGCGUUAUCCGGAAUCAUUGGGUUUAAAGGGUCCGUAGGCGGUCUUGUAAGUCAGUGGUGAAAGCCCAUCGCUCAACGGUGGAACGGCCAUUGAUACUGCAGGACUUGAAUUAUUGGGAAGUAACUAGAAUAUGUAGUGUAGCGGUGAAAUGCUUAGAGAUUACAUGGAAUACCAAUUGCGAAGGCAGGUUACUACCAAUUGAUUGACGCUGAUGGACGAAAGCGUGGGUAGCGAACAGGAUUAGAGACCCCAGUAGUCCCUGUCUCUUAUAA